GGUCUGCCUUUGCCAGAGACUAUAAAUAUGUGGGGCCAAUGACUCAGCAAAUCUGUUGCUAUUUUUCUUGCAGGUCCGUGUGGAUCUGUGUCUGUGUACACCAUGGCCCCAUCUCCCAGCAGCUCCCAUGGCUUGUAUCCAUGGAAACGCAGUCCUCCCCACUCUAGCACUCUGGCUGAUAAACACUGGGAGUCUCCCCAGCCCCCCACCCACCUUGGAGGAAAAGCAUGGACCACAAGGGCUCCCACUGAGCAGGAGGAUACCAUUGACAGAGAAGGUGCUACUUUCUCAGUUGCUUUCAGAGUCAAGGCAAGGCCAAGCAUCCAGGCCCUUCCCCUGCUGGUCUGUGGUCAAGGCUUUGUUGUCUGUUUAAGGGAGAACAAAGUUGCCACCAGAUCUCAGAAGCAAAAGAAAGGGUCAUGGAAUCAUUCAAUGGACAUCGAUAGGGACCUCCCUGGUGGUCCAAUGGUUAAGAAUCCACCGUCCAAUGCACGGGACUUGGGUUCGAUCCCUGGUCAGGGAACUGAGACCCUACAUGCCAUGGGGCAGCUAAGCCAGCACGUUGCAACUGUAGAACCCAGGUGUCCUGGAGCCCCGAGACUUGCAACUAGAGAAAAGGCCAUGACCUGCAACGGAGGCUCCUACGUGACGCAACUGAGACCCAACACAGCCGAAAAUAGGUUUAGCUGGUUCUGUCCAGAACCAUGA
RNAcentral lists this long non-coding RNA (708 nucleotides) under Capra hircus (goat). RNAcentral describes it as "lncRNA (ENSCHIG00000001011.1)". Lineage: Eukaryota; Metazoa; Chordata; Mammalia; Artiodactyla; Bovidae. The record is from RNAcentral.